ACGGGAGGCAGCAGUGGGGAAUAUUGGACAAUGGGGGGAACCCUGAUCCAGCGACGCCGCGUGAGUGAAGAAGUAUUUCGGUAUGUAAAGCUCUAUCAACAGGGAAGAAAAUGACGGUACCUGCAUAAGAAGCCCCGGCUAACUACGUGCCAGCAGCCGCGGUAAUACGUAGGGGGCAAGCGUUAUCCGGAUUUACUGGGUGUAAAGGGAGCGUAGACGGUAGUAAAAGUCUGAAGUGAAAACCCACAGCUCAACUGAGGGCAUGCUUUGGAAACUUUAUAACUAGAGUGCAGGAGGGGUAAGCGGAAUUCCUAGUGUAGCGGUGAAAUGCGUAGAUAUUAGGAGGAACACCAGCGGCGAAGGCGGCUUACUGGACUGUAACUGACGUUGAGGCUCGAAAGCGUGGGGAGCAAACAGGAUUAGAUACCCUGGUA
RNAcentral lists this ribosomal RNA (434 nucleotides) under uncultured Lachnospiraceae bacterium. Its description in RNAcentral is "partial 16S ribosomal RNA". It matches the Rfam family "Bacterial small subunit ribosomal RNA", at positions 341 to 792 of the family's 1533-position model. The record is from RNAcentral. Lineage: Bacteria; Bacillati; Bacillota; Clostridia; Lachnospirales; Lachnospiraceae.